GGGGGAAUAUUGCACAAUGGGGCGAAAGCCUGAUGCAGCAACGCCGCGUGAGGGAAGACGGUUUUCGGAUUGUAAACCUCUGUUUUCGGUGACGAACAAAUGACGGUAACCGAGUAGGAAGCCACGGCUAACUACGUGCCAGCAGCCGCGGUAAUACGGAGGAUGCGAGCGUUAUCCGGAUUUAUUGGGUUUAAAGGGUGCGCAGGCGGACUCAUCAAGUCAGCGGUAAAAAUUCGGGGCUCAACCCCGUCCUGCCGUUGAAACUGCGAGACUGGAGUGCGACAGAGGAAAGCGGAAUGCGAGGUGUAGCGGUGAAAUGCAUAGAUAUCGCGCAGAACUCCGAUUGCGAAGGCAACUUUCCAUGUCGUGACUGACGCUGAGGCACGAAAGCGUGGGGAUCGAACAGGAUUAGAUACCCUGGUAGU
This 425-nucleotide ribosomal RNA is filed under the name uncultured Porphyromonadaceae bacterium. Its description in RNAcentral is "bacterial SSU rRNA". It matches the Rfam family "Bacterial small subunit ribosomal RNA", at positions 355 to 794 of the family's 1533-position model. Lineage: Bacteria; Pseudomonadati; Bacteroidota; Bacteroidia; Bacteroidales; Porphyromonadaceae. The record is from RNAcentral.